This 1361-nucleotide long non-coding RNA is filed under the name Ficedula albicollis (Collared flycatcher). RNAcentral's name for it is "lncRNA (ENSFALG00000025503.1)". The record is from RNAcentral. Lineage: Eukaryota; Metazoa; Chordata; Aves; Passeriformes; Muscicapidae.
CCCCCCCCCCCCCCCCCCCCCCCCCCCCCCCCCCCCCCCCCCCCCCCCCCCCCCCCCCCCCCCCCCGGCCGCCUUGGAGGAGCCCCCGGGGCGGCGCCUGCGGCCCUGCAGGCCUUGUUCCCGGCCCCCCUCCUCCGGGCUGAGGCGGCUCUCGGUGCCCCCCGAGCUCAGGGUGCUGCGGGACGGCGUGUGCCAGGACACGGAGCGGGCCUGGGGGCUGCGGGACGGUGUCAGCCGCGACCGGGACCGCUCCUGGGAGCUGCGGGACGGUGUCAGCUGAGACUGGGACUGGGCCUCAGAGCUGCGGGACGGUGUCAGUCGUGUCAGGGACCCGUCCUGGGAGCUGUGGGAACUGCAGGGUGAUGUCAGCCGGGACACAGACCGGGCCCGGGUGCCCUGGGAGCUGCGGGACGGUGUCGCCCAGGACACCGAGCGGGCCUCAGAGCUGCGGGACGGUUUCAGCCGGGACAGGGAGCGGUCCUGGGUGCUCUGGGAACUGCAGGGUGAUGUCAGCCGGGACACAGACCGGGCCCGGCUGGUGUGGGACGGUGUCAGCUGGGGCACAGAUCGGGCCUGGGAGCUCUGGGAGCUCUGGGUGCUGCGAGGCGAUGCCAACCGCUGCAGGGACCGGCCCUGGGAGCUGCGGGCUGAUGUCAGUUGGGGCACAGACCGGGCCUGGGUGCUGCAGGCUGGUUUCGGCUGGGACACAGACUGCGCCUGGCAGCUCUGGGAUGGUGUCACCCGGGGCAUGGACUGGGCCUGGGAGCUCUGGGGCAGCGUCAGCCAGUGCAGGGAGCAGUUCUGGCUGCCCUGGGAGCUGCGGUAUGCUGUCAGUCGGUGCAGGGACCGGGCCUGGCUGCCCUGGGAGCUGUGAGGAGCUGUCAGUCUGUGCAGGGACCGGCCCUGGGUGCCCUGGGUGUUGUGGGGAGCUGUCAGUCGGUGCAGGGACCGGCCCUGGGUGCUGUGGGGAGCUGUCAGUCGGUGCAGGGACCGGCCCUGGGUGUUGUGGGGAGCUGUCAGUCGGUGCAGGGACCGGCCCUGGGUGCCCUGGGAGCUGUGAGGAGCUGUCAGCCAAUGCACAGACCGGCCCUUGCUGCCCUGAGGCUGCUGCAGCUGCGGGCGGGAGGAGGAGGAAGAGGUGUGGGAUGGAGGCAGCUGCCUGGGCAGGGUGCUGCUGUGCCUGCUGCCAUCCUCCUGUUGGCCUGUCUCUCUGUCUUUCAGCUGGUGCCUCUCCUUGGGGCUCUGGGGACUGGGGCUCUGCUCCUCCAUGGCUCCUUUUCCUGGGAGCUGGUGUUCUGGGAAGCUGCUACUUCCUGAGCAAGAUGUUCUGCUUGAGUGGGUACCCCAGGGGGGCUCCUUAA